Molecule: ribosomal RNA, 292 nt
Filed under: uncultured bacterium
Lineage: Bacteria
Description: partial 16S ribosomal RNA
Rfam family: Bacterial small subunit ribosomal RNA
Source: RNAcentral
GUGUCAGCAGCCGCGGUAACACGUAGGAGACGAGCGUUAUCCGGAUUUACUGGGUGUAAAGCGCGUGCAGGCGGUUUGUUAAGUUGGAUGUGAAAGCUCCCGGCUAAACUGGGAGAGGUCGUUCAAAACUGGCAGACUAGAGUGUGGUAGAGGAGAGUGGAAUUCCGAGUGUAGCGGUAAAAUGCAUAGAUAUUCGGAAGAACACCAGUGGCGAAGGCGACUUUCUGGACCACAACUGACGCUCAGACGCGAAAGCCAGGGUAGCAAACGGGAUUAGAUACCCCAGUAGUCC